RNAcentral lists this ribosomal RNA (175 nucleotides) under uncultured bacterium. Its description in RNAcentral is "partial 16S ribosomal RNA". It matches the Rfam family "Eukaryotic small subunit ribosomal RNA", at positions 412 to 582 of the family's 1831-position model. The record is from RNAcentral.
ACUCCUACGCGGAGGCACGCACGGCGCGCAAAUUACCCACUCCCGGCACGGGGAGGUAGUGACGAAAAAUAACGAUACGGGACUCAUCCGAGGCCCCGUAAUCGGAAUGAGUACACUUUAAAUCCUUUAACGAGGACCAAUUGGAGGGCAAGUCUGGUGCCAGCAGCCGCGGUAA